This is a long non-coding RNA of Homo sapiens (human), 3499 nucleotides long. Ensembl annotates it as long intergenic non-protein coding RNA 499. The record is from Ensembl. Lineage: Eukaryota; Metazoa; Chordata; Mammalia; Primates; Hominidae.
GGGGAAUAAGUCUCUGCAGCGUUGUAGUGAAGAGAGAAUACGGGACAACUGCAGGACCACAGCUCAGCCAAGAGCUCCCUUGCAGCUGAGUUGGCCAUAUGACUGACAGCAAGCCCUGGAAUGCAGCCAGAAGUGAUAGAAGCCUCUUUCACACCAUGCUCCUAAAAUAUUCCAAGAAAUUUUCCAAACCUACUCUUUUUAGUCUGUGCAUCUGGAAGUGAAAGUUUUAGAAAGGGUAAAGUCACUUAAUGGAAAGGGCCCAGAUCUAGCCCCUCGGAGCCAAGCUGUCCAACUAGAAAUUCUGCAUUAGUAUUUGCGACCCCAGUAAAAAAAAAAAAGUCCCACAAAGAUGUAGGAUCUCACUUUGCCUGCGUUAAUUCCCUGUCCUUUGCCCAGUUUCUCCUCUCUUGGAAGGCAGAGGCAGCUUCUGAUUUUGAUCACUUCAUGUCCAGAUGACUUCAAUUCCAUCAUUACUAUUCCUGUCUACUUGCAAUAUCAAUAUUAUUUAUCAUUGUGUUGAUGUGUGCUUUCUUCUAUCCCAUACAUCCUAUCAGUAUAAACUCUUUCAUUAUAUUGAUUAACCAACUCAGUUUAUGGCAGUGUUUCUUUAUCUGUCAUCAAUUGAUUAUCACACAUUCAUCAGGCACUGGAUAGAAUUCAUAGGAUAUGCCACAAAGUGAGAAGGGGGAUCAUUUGCUUCAGAGAAGACACAUUUACUGAUCAUACUGCAAAGAGCAAGCUGACCCCUGCUUGAGAUCUUACAGAGAACUACAGAAAAUUCACAAAAGCCCCCACAAAAGAGUCUGCUGUGACCAUCUGUCAAGUUGUCAGCUGUAAACAACUGCCAAAAUGCUAGAUCACCUCACAAGGAGCUGUGAAGUAACAUCUUUGCUGCCUUUCUUACUUCUUCCUUCCUGGCACCAAUCCUUGAAGAGCCAGAAAACUCUGCCGGUGAAUUGGAGAAGGAGUAGAAGUAGUAUUAGACUAGGUAAUAAAUCUCUUCCACCCCUACUUCAACUUCUGGCUUCCCACUCACAGCAGACUCAAGCUGCCAGAAAGGAAAAAAACUUCAACUUUAACACAAGAUCAAAGUUUUUACAAACACAUGCUUCUGACAGUUAAAUUACUAAACUGGGGCAGUUUUCUGUGACCUGAAGUAACAAGAAAACUGUAUUACUCAACAGUGACCAGAAACAUCAUGGAAUCUGCCUAACUUUUCACAAAGAAAUGAAAAGGCUAAACUUACAAACUACAUUUAAAAGGAUAGAGGGAGAGAACAUUUAAGCUACUUCUUGACUAUAUUCCACAAGUCAUCUCUGUUCAAUAUAUCAGCUGUUUCUUGGAAGAGAAAAUGGUGAUAUCAGGGUACACGAUGGCUUCCUCAAGAAGAAGCUGUCAUGCCCAGGCCAAACUCAAUGACAGCCCUUGAAUUCAUGGAAAUUAUCCCAGGCAGAACACACAUCCUUGUCAUCACUGUCAAGGAUUACUGAUUACACUAUCGCAUUUCAUCUGCACCUACGGACAUAAGAAAGCAUCAAACUACAAGUCUUUUCAUGUCCCCAAGCUGCUAAAAAGGAAUCAUCUAAAAUGCCUCUUCCUGGCCUCCCAGGAAGGUGUUGUAGAGAUUCUCAUGAAGAAUUAUUAUUAUCUCUUUUAAAUAAUAGCUCGGCAUUAACAGAAAAUUUUCUCUGUAUUAUUGCCAUCACUUAAAGACAGAACUUAUGACACCACAAAUGACCCAGAGAAAAGGUAGUUCUAAAUCAAUGCAAAAUAACAAAAGGAUAAAAAGCAUAUCCCCAGAGACACACCAGGAGAUGCACACUGUGUUGCAUUUAUUAAAAUGCAGGUGUAAGCAUAAGGCAUAAAAUGACAAUAUUAAACCAAGAGUUUAAAUUAUGUAGAAUAUUUUAUAAGAUUAUAGCUUUAAUUUCCUUUGGGGAAACUAAGGUGGAAAAUAGUAGUUUCGUGAGACUGUUCACUGUUGAUUUGAAAGCCAUCUGGCUAAUCCGUAGCAUUUAUUUUUUUAAUGAAUAAAUGAAAAUCAAAAGAAGGAUGCAAUAUUAUUCAAGAAAAAGAUUUGUGCUUUGAAAGUUUUAAAAUAAUAUUGCAACUCCAAAAUUACAUGUAAAUCCCUCAAAAUAGACCAAGUAGGCACGUUCUCCCAAUCUAAUGUCUAUUUAACUCCAUUGAAACAGGUGAUCUAUUUCUUAAUAUUGCCUAUGUAUGGGCAAGAAAUGUGGGUAUUUGCUCUGUUUUGUUUUAAAUAGAAACUUCUAAUUGUAUUUUCUUUCUCUGGGAAUCACACCUCCAAAGUGGUACACUGUAGGAAAUAGGACAAUCCUAGGGGCCAUGGGCCUUCGUGAGAGGUAUAAGUCUUGCUCCAUCCCAUUUCAGAUGUGCAAGAUGUUUACUCUGACACGGCCUAUGUAUCUUUAAGAAGCUCAAAUAAUACUAAUUCAAUGCCAUUCCUAAGUUAUCAAGAGGAUCCAACAAGUCAGUGAGCAUACAACUGUAAAGACAAAGUAAUCUAAAAUGGAGAUUAUUUUAUUCUUUUUGUUAUAGUGUUUCAAUGAGGAAUUAUAUUUCAGUAAAGAACAAGGAAAGUAAUAGAAAAAAGAAAGAAAGUAUAAUGCUAUAAAUAAGGACCACAUAUUUCUCCAUGCCCUGUUUACCCUAAUAUGUAAAUAUAGAGGGCUACAAAGAACAAAUAACAAUUCAAAGAAAUAAAGGGGCCAUUUAAUAUUGAAUCACAAAGGCCUCUGACAAACCCCAAAUCCACCCUCCUGAAGCAAAUCACCACUUUCCAAGACAUGGGAUAACCUAUUGAGUUUCUCUAGCUCUUCAAAGUUCUUUCUUCUUUUGCCUUGUUGUGACCACUUCUCCAAAAGAGGGACUGAAAGCUUACUAUCAAGUAACUUUGAAUGUCCACAUUUUAUUCUCCCUCUUCCUUGUGACUUGCUCGACUAAAGGGAGAUUUUGUUUCCUCCAUUCCAAUUCUGCAUCAAAAUAAAACUGCUGUGUUUCAUCACUUCCAUGUUUGAAGCAUUUGCCUUGAUCAUUUGGGUAAGCGUAAAUUUUUCACCUGCAAUUUGAUCAUUCUUAUUUCCUUAGCAGUAAUUUUACAGUUUUGGAAGUCCUAUCAGAAAACUAAAAUUGUUCUGAAAAAAAUUGCCUUAACUUUAUCUUCCAAAUUUUAAAAACAAUAGGGGCACAUCGUGGAAUAUGUUAAAAAGUGUAAUUUUUAAAAAGCAGAAAAAUAAUUUUGGGGUUUUUUUGUUGCUGGUUUAUUCUUGUUCUUUAAAAUAGUCAAAUUUGUAUUGCAUAUACAUUUGUUAUCCUACUUUUUACUUACUAUCAUGUCAUUCACAUUUUCAUGUCAAAAAUUAUUUGUAACAAAGUUUAAUGCUAGUUAUAGUUGAUUAUUCAGAUAUAAUGCCUAAUUUUACAAUAGUGAAAUUUCAAUUGCUUUGUAUUGGUUUAUAAUAAAUGCUAGCUAGUU